This is a long non-coding RNA of Helianthus annuus (common sunflower), 257 nucleotides long. RefSeq lists it as uncharacterized. Lineage: Eukaryota; Viridiplantae; Streptophyta; Magnoliopsida; Asterales; Asteraceae. The record is from RefSeq and is a predicted model, not a curated record. The transcript has 3 exons.
GUAUCCAAUAGAUUUACCUCCAACUUGUAACCCUCUACAUACCACCUUUGAACCACUAAUAUCAAUGUUCGUAUCGUAGCACACCUGAUCCCUUUCAGCAACCUUUCGUUAAUUCUGAUAUAUUGUUUAUCUCAAAACUAAGAAAUCGUAUAGACAUGAUCCAUUAUCUAAGUAUUUUAGUUGCCGUCACUUUGGAACAAUUAAGGUUAGCAGGGAUGGCGGGAAAGUGUGAAGAGAGCUAAAACAAACAAGUUGGA